Molecule: ribosomal RNA, 373 nt
Filed under: Clostridioides difficile
Lineage: Bacteria; Bacillati; Bacillota; Clostridia; Peptostreptococcales; Peptostreptococcaceae
Description: partial 23S ribosomal RNA
Rfam family: Bacterial large subunit ribosomal RNA
Source: RNAcentral
CGGGGAGUUGCACGUAAACUUUGAUCCGAAGAUUUCCGAAUGAGGAAACUCACUUAGAGUAAUGUCUAAGUAUCAUUAAGUGAAUACAUAGCUUAAUGAGGGGAACUCAGGGAACUGAAACAUCUAAGUACCUGAAGGAAGAGAAAGAAAUUCGAUUCCGUAAGUAGCGGCGAGCGAACGCGGAUUAGCCCAAACCAAUAAAGUUUUCUUUAUUGGGGUUGCGGACAUAUCAUAACGAAGAGGUAUCGUAAUUGAAGAGGUUUGGAAAGACUCACCACAGAAGGUAAUAGUCCUGUAUGUUAAACGAGAAGACUUCAGAUAUGAUCCAGAGUACCACGGGACACGUGAAACCCUGUGGGAAGCAGGAGGGACC